This 309-nucleotide long non-coding RNA is filed under the name Gossypium barbadense (sea-island cotton). Its description in RNAcentral is "long non-coding RNA (GBAR_LNC008592)". Lineage: Eukaryota; Viridiplantae; Streptophyta; Magnoliopsida; Malvales; Malvaceae. The record is from RNAcentral.
CACUGAUAGGAUCAUGGAACCAGCUUCAAGUAGUCCCAACGGAUUCCCUCCUUUACCCGAGGGUUCCCCGCCAUUACCCCCAGAUUCUCCUCCACCACCACCUUUGCCACCUUCACCACCUCCGCCCCCACCUCCAUCAUCUCCUUCGCCGCCUCCUCCUCCACCACCUCUACCAACACAACUACCUCCUCCCCUUGCGCCGCCUGCAUGCCCUCCUCCAGCUUUCGUGCCCCAACCACCAUUGCCCACUCAACCUAUGCUACCUCCUCAGUCAUCAAUGCAGUCUUCACCUCAGCUGGCAUAUCAAGC